AAUUGAGGUGAUGAUAUUGUCUUCCGAAUUCAUCUGUGUCGACUAUAAAUUAUCAGACUACAAUUAUCUGAUCAAUU
Molecule: small nucleolar RNA, 77 nt
Organism: Gastrolobium bilobum
Lineage: Eukaryota; Viridiplantae; Streptophyta; Magnoliopsida; Fabales; Fabaceae
Product: small nucleolar RNA Z155
Exons: 1
Source: RefSeq, a predicted model, not a curated record